RNAcentral lists this ribosomal RNA (252 nucleotides) under uncultured prokaryote. RNAcentral's name for it is "partial 16S ribosomal RNA". It matches the Rfam family "Bacterial small subunit ribosomal RNA", at positions 524 to 775 of the family's 1533-position model. The record is from RNAcentral.
UACGGAGGAUGCAAGCGUUAUCCGGAUUUAUUGGGUUUAAAGGGUGCGUAGGCGGAUAUGUAAGUCAGCGGUGAAAUUUUGCAGCUUAACUGUAACAGUGCCGUUGAUACUGGGGAGCUAGGAUUUGGUUGCUGUGGGUGGAAUGUGUGGUGUAGCGGUGAAAUGCUUAGAGAUCACACAGAAUAUCGAUUGCGAAGGCAGCUCACAAAGCCAAGAUUGACGCUGAGGCACGAAAGUGUGGGGAGUCAAACA